This 253-nucleotide ribosomal RNA is filed under the name uncultured bacterium. RNAcentral describes it as "partial 16S ribosomal RNA". It matches the Rfam family "Bacterial small subunit ribosomal RNA", at positions 524 to 776 of the family's 1533-position model. The record is from RNAcentral.
UACGGAGGGAGCUAGCGUUGUUCGGAAUUACUGGGCGUAAAGCGCACGUAGGCGGCUAUUCAAGUCGGGGGUGAAAGCCCGGGGCUCAACCCCGGAACUGCCCUCGAAACUAGGUAGCUAGAAUCUUAGAGAGGCGAGUGGAAUUCCGAGUGUAGAGGUGAAAUUCGUAGAUAUUCGGAAGAACACCAGUGGCGAAGGCGACUCGCUGGACAAGUAUUGACGCUGAGGUGCGAAAGCGUGGGGAGCAAACAGG